GAGUUUGAUCCUGGCUCAGAUUGAACGCUGGCGGCAGGCCUAACACAUGCAAGUCGAGCGGUAGAGAGAAGCUUGCUUCUCUUGAGAGCGGCGGACGGGUGAGUAAUGCCUAGGAAUCUGCCUGGUAGUGGGGGAUAACGCUCGGAAACGGACGCUAAUACCGCAUACGUCCUACGGGAGAAAGCAGGGGACCUUCGGGCCUUGCGCUAUCAGAUGAGCCUAGGUCGGAUUAGCUAGUUGGUGAGGUAAUGGCUCACCAAGGCGACGAUCCGUAACUGGUCUGAGGGGAUGAUCAGUCACACUGGAACUGAGACACGGUCCAGACUCCUACGGGAGGCAGCAGUGGGGAAUAUUGGACAAUGGGCGAAAGCCUGAUCCAGCCAUGCCGCGUGUGUGAAGAAGGUCUUCGGAUUGUAAAGCACUUUAAGUUGGGAGGAAGGGCAGUAAAUUAAUACUUUGCUGUUUUGACGUUACCGACAGAAUAAGCACCGGCUAACUCUGUGCCAGCCGCCGACGG
This 517-nucleotide ribosomal RNA is filed under the name uncultured bacterium. RNAcentral's name for it is "bacterial SSU rRNA". It matches the Rfam family "Bacterial small subunit ribosomal RNA", at positions 9 to 520 of the family's 1533-position model. The record is from RNAcentral.